Non-coding RNA from Pelobates cultripes (western spadefoot toad), 204 nucleotides. NCBI's taxonomy places the organism in Eukaryota, Metazoa, Chordata, Amphibia, Anura, Pelobatidae. The record is from the annotation of a GenBank genome assembly.
ACCAGUCUCCUCGACUACGUUGGCUCGUUGGGUUAAGGAUCUCCUUUCCGCUGCAGGGAUUGAUACAUCAAUUUUUUCAGUCCAUUAGGUCAGAGGAGCCAUGGCAUCCAAAGCUUCUAAGAUGGGUUGUCGUCUGCAUGAUAUUUUGAAAGUGGUGGAUUGGUCUAGUGAAUCUACGUUCCAUGAUUUCUAUUUCUGCCCGAU